GUUUUGAUGAUCACACAUAAUAGCAAGCUAUCUUUCAAUUCAGCUUAACAUGUUAUAUUUACUCUGUUAUAGCCUGCCAUAUUACUUGUCUAAUCCGAUUCUGCAGGAAACAGAGAUAUAGCAAGCUAUUGUCAUAUCUUAGCUUGACAUGUUUAAGUUAUAGUAUUUUAGCCUGCUGUUUGUCUUUCUAACCUUGUGUUGCA
This 203-nucleotide long non-coding RNA is filed under the name Daucus carota (carrot). Its description in RNAcentral is "long non-coding RNA (DCAR_LNC006570)". The record is from RNAcentral. Lineage: Eukaryota; Viridiplantae; Streptophyta; Magnoliopsida; Apiales; Apiaceae.